RNAcentral lists this ribosomal RNA (440 nucleotides) under uncultured bacterium. Its description in RNAcentral is "partial 16S ribosomal RNA". It matches the Rfam family "Bacterial small subunit ribosomal RNA", at positions 338 to 795 of the family's 1533-position model. The record is from RNAcentral.
CCUACGGGAGGCAGCAGUGGGGAAUAUUGCACAAUGGGGGAAACCCUGAUGCAGCGACGCCGCGUGAGUGAAGAAGUAAUUCGUUAUGUAAAGCUCUAUCAGCAGGGAAGAAAAUGACGGUACCUGUGUAAGAAGCCCCGGCUAACUACGUGCCAGCAGCCGCGGUAAUCCGGAGGGGGCAAGCGUUAUCCGGAUGUACUGGGUGUAAAGUGAGCGUAGACGGCAGUGCAAGUCUGGAGUGAAAGGCGGGGGCUCAACCCCCGGACUGCUCUGGAAACUGGACGGCUGGAGUGCAGGAGAGGUAAGUGGAAUUCCUAGUGUAGCGGUGAAAUGCGUAGAUAUUAGGAGGAACACCAGUGGCGAAGGCGGCUUACUGGACUGUAACUGACGUUGAGGCUCGAAAGCGUGGGGAGCAAACAGGAUUAGAUACCCUAGUAGUC